Molecule: ribosomal RNA, 560 nt
Filed under: Caldimonas manganoxidans
Lineage: Bacteria; Pseudomonadati; Pseudomonadota; Betaproteobacteria; Burkholderiales; Sphaerotilaceae
Description: bacterial SSU rRNA
Rfam family: Bacterial small subunit ribosomal RNA
Source: RNAcentral
AGUCGUGGGGGAUAACCACUCGAAAGAGUGGCUAAUACCGCAUACGACCUGAGGGUGAAAGCGGGGGACCGCAAGGCCUCGCGCGAUUGGAGCGGCCGAUGUCGGAUUAGCUAGUUGGUGGGGUAAAGGCUUACCAAGGCGACGAUCCGUAGCUGGUCUGAGAGGACGACCAGCCACACUGGGACUGAGACACGGCCCAGACUCCUACGGGAGGCAGCAGUGGGGAAUUUUGGACAAUGGGCGCAAGCCUGAUCCAGCCAUGCCGCGUGCGGGAAGAAGGCCUUCGGGUUGUAAACCGCUUUUGUCAGGGAAGAAAAGCUCUGGGCUAAUACCUCGGAGUGAUGACGGUACCUGAAGAAUAAGCACCGGCUAACUACGUGCCAGCAGCCGCGGUAAUACGUAGGGUGCGAGCGUUAAUCGGAAUUACUGGGCGUAAAGCGUGCGCAGGCGGUUGUGCAAGACAGAUGUGAAAUCCCCGGGCUUAACCUGGGAACUGCAUUUGUGACUGCACGGCUAGAGUGUGGCAGAGGGGGAUGGAAUUCCGCGUGUAGCAGUGAAAU